GAUGAACGCUGGCGGCGUGCCUAAUACAUGCAAGUCGAACGGUCGACUUCGGUCGAUAGUGGCGAAUGGGUGAGUAACGCGUUGGUGACCUACCCCGAAGAGUGGGAUAACAGCUCGAAAGGGCUGCUAAUACCCCAUGUGGUCACGAGGGUUAGAGUCCUUGUGACUAAAGAUGCAAAUCGCUUUGGGUGGGGCCUGCGUCCCAUCAGCUUGUUGGUAGGGUAAUGGCCUACCAAGGCUACGACGGGUAGGGGGCCUGAGAGGGUGGCCCCCCACACUGGCACUGAAACACGGGCCAGACACCUACGGGAGGCAG
This 316-nucleotide ribosomal RNA is filed under the name uncultured Chloroflexota bacterium. RNAcentral's name for it is "bacterial SSU rRNA". It matches the Rfam family "Bacterial small subunit ribosomal RNA", at positions 28 to 351 of the family's 1533-position model. The record is from RNAcentral. Lineage: Bacteria; Bacillati; Chloroflexota.